Molecule: unclassified non-coding RNA, 221 nt
Filed under: plant metagenome
Description: partial contains small subunit ribosomal RNA, internal transcribed spacer 1, and 5.8S ribosomal RNA
Source: RNAcentral
UCUCCGUAGGUGAACCUGCGGAGGGAUCAUUACAGAGAACAUCGCCCUCACGGGUGACUCUCCAACCCUAUGUCGUUAUAACCUUUGUUGCUUUGGCGAGCCGCCUCGGCCACCGGCUCCAGCUGGUGAGUGCUCGCCAGAGGACCCCCAACUCUGAAUAUUAGUGUCGUCUGAGUACUAUAUAAUAGUUAAAACUUUCAACAACGGAUCUCUUGGUUCUG